UACGUAGGGUGCAAGCGUUGUCCGGAAUUAUUGGGCGUAAAGAGCUUGUAGGCGGUUUGUCGCGUCUGCUGUGAAAUUUCGGGGCUCAACCCCGAACUUGCAGUGGGUACGGGCAGGCUAGAGUGUGGUAGGGGAGACUGGAAUUCCUGGUGUAGCGGUGAAAUGCGCAGAUAUCAGGAGGAACACCAAUGGCGAAGGCAGCUCGCUGGAACGGUACUGACGCUGAGGCGCGAAAGCGUGGGGAGCAAACAGG
This 253-nucleotide ribosomal RNA is filed under the name uncultured bacterium. RNAcentral's name for it is "partial 16S ribosomal RNA". It matches the Rfam family "Bacterial small subunit ribosomal RNA", at positions 524 to 776 of the family's 1533-position model. The record is from RNAcentral.